AAAACAGUGACUGCAGCGACACAAGUCAAGUACGGCUCUGGUGUUGCAGCGAUACAUCUCCUUGAAAUCAAGUUUCUUCUUCUUCUGCUGCGUGAUUUAUCGAGCCGCGUGUGCCGCUCUGCCCACAGCUCUGCUGCGGAGUUAAACCGAUCUCACCCUCUGAGGCCGUGCACUUCAAACUUCACCAUAUCAACGUGAACGUGAGAGUUCACACACUCUGCCUGUCUGAAGGAGCAGCUGAUCUACAGUGGCAAACGUCUGCGCUUUAGUCAUGUGUUCAAAUCUCAAACACAGGAUAUCCUCACAAAACAACCCUCAACCCUCAGUCGGGUUCUGAGAGUCACAGAAAGUAUUUGGUUCUCUGUAUUUUCUUGUAUUACUUUCAGUGGAUAACAGCCUUGUUAGCAACAUUAGCUCGGCCUUCCCCACUCAGCAUAUACUGCCCCCUGGCCUCACUGCGUGUGUACUGCUAAAUAUACUAUACUUGAAAAUGAAAACUUUUGUUUCACAACCUUCUUGACUUCCACCCUCCUACACUUUCAGGUGAAGCACAGAUACAGACAGGAAGUCGUUCAGCCCUGUCACAGAAACGUUCUGAGACUCACGACUCCAAAAUUGUAAUUUUCUUUAUCUCCCUGUUGGACAGAGUCAAAAAAGUCCGACCCAGAAAACACCUGGUCCAAAGGACUGAGCAUCGGUACCUGAAAGUUCUUGUUGUCCUGGAUCUGUCAGGGUGACGUCAGGACACUGCUGCACCGCGCUACACCCCCGGCACACAAACACACACUCCUGUAAAAAUCACUGCUCUGCUUCAAACAGUUUUUUACUGGUUUUAUAUUUUGUACAUUUUUCUGGACAUUUUUAAAAAAUAUUUUAUCAAUAAUAAUAUUAAUAAUAAUUCUAUUUUGCAUACAAAAUUAUAAAAACACAGACAUGGAGCUGCUGAUAUCUGUCCUUCUGUAGCAGUUCUGCGAUACUUGAUCCUGGGCUCUUGACUGACGACAUCCGAUACCAGCAUAAGAUCAACGAGGGGGAAAAACUUUUUUUUUUUAACAAUUACCAACGCGUGGUUGAAAUAUAGGUUGGAGACCCUGGGCAGUAAUCCUUAAAUUCUGAAAAGUGGGUUGAAAAUCCCUGGGCAGUAACCCCUAAAGUACCAAAGGCCUAAAAA
Molecule: long non-coding RNA, 1171 nt
Organism: Cynoglossus semilaevis (tongue sole)
Lineage: Eukaryota; Metazoa; Chordata; Actinopteri; Pleuronectiformes; Cynoglossidae
Exons: 2
Source: RefSeq, a predicted model, not a curated record